Molecule: ribosomal RNA, 373 nt
Filed under: uncultured organism
Description: bacterial SSU rRNA
Rfam family: Bacterial small subunit ribosomal RNA
Source: RNAcentral
GGGGGAGCAAGCGUUGUUCGGAUUUACUGGGCGUAAAGGGCGCGUAGGCGGCCACCGCAAGUCGACUGUGAAAUCUCUGGGCUUAACCCAGAACGGUCAGCCGAUACUGCGGGGCUAGAGUGCAGAAGGGGCAACUGGAAUUCUCGGUGUAGCGGUGAAAUGCGUAGAUAUCGAGAGGAACACCUGCGGCGAAGGCGGGUUGCUGGGCUGACACUGACGCUGAGGCGCGAAAGCUAGGGGAGCGAACGGGAUUAGAUACCCCGGUAGUCCUAGCCUUUAAACGAUGAAUGCUUGGUGUCUGGGGUUUUAUAGUCCCCGGGUGCCGUCGCUAACGCUUUAAGCAUUCCGCCUGGGGAGUACGGUCGCAAGACUG